This 316-nucleotide ribosomal RNA is filed under the name uncultured eukaryote. RNAcentral's name for it is "SSU rRNA". It matches the Rfam family "Eukaryotic small subunit ribosomal RNA", at positions 230 to 549 of the family's 1831-position model. The record is from RNAcentral.
UCUUCGGGCUGGUAUUGUGUUGAGUCAUAAUAACUGUGCGGAUCGCACUUUGUGCGAUAAAUCGAUUGAGUUUCUGCCCUAUCAGCUUUGGAUGGUAGGAUAUGGGCCUACCAUGGCAUUAACGGGUAACGGGGAAUUAGGGUUUGAUUCCGGAAAGGGAGCCUUAAAAACGGCUACCACAUCCAAGGAAGGCAGCAGGCGCGUAAAUUACCCAAUCCUGACACAGGGAGGAAGGGACAANAAANAACAAUGCUCUGGCUCUUCGAGUCGGGCAAUUGUAAUGAGAACAAUUUAAAUCCCUUAACGAGGAUCAAUU